AUUGAACGCUGGCGGCAUGCCUUACACAUGCAAGUCGAACGGUAACAGGUCUUCGGAUGCUGACGAGUGGCGCACGGGUGCGUAAUACAUCGGAACGUGCCCGAUCGUGGGGGAUAACGGAGCGAAAGCUUUGCUAAUACCGCAUACGAUCUACGGAUGAAAGCAGGGGACCGCAAGGCCUUGCGCGGACGGAGCGGCCGAUGGCAGAUUAGGUAGUUGGUGGGAUAAAAGCUUACCAAGCCGACGAUCUGUAGCUGGUCUGAGAGGACGACCAGCCACACUGGGACUGAGACACGGCCCAGACUCCUACGGGAGGCAGCAGUGGGGAAUUUUGGACAAUGGGCGAAAGCCUGAUCCAGCCAUGCCGCGUGCAGGAUGAAGGCCUUCGGGUUGUAAACUGCUUUUGUACGGAACGAAAAGACUCUUUCUAAUAAAGAGGGUCCAUGACGGUACCGGAAGAAUAAGCACCGGCUAACUACGUG
This 482-nucleotide ribosomal RNA is filed under the name uncultured bacterium. RNAcentral's name for it is "partial 16S ribosomal RNA". It matches the Rfam family "Bacterial small subunit ribosomal RNA", at positions 30 to 507 of the family's 1533-position model. The record is from RNAcentral.